GCUGGGCAUGGUGGUGGGUGCCUGUAAUCCUAGCUACUCGGGAGGCUGAGGCAGGAGAAUCGCUUGAACCCGGGAGGCGGAGGUUGCAGUGAGCCAAGAUCGUGCCACUGCACUCCAGCCCUGGUGACAGAGUGAGACUCCGUCUCGAAAAAAAAAAAAAAAAAUUUUUUUUUGAGAUGGAGUCUUGCUCUGUUACUGAGACCGGAGUGCAGUGGUGCGAUCUUGGCUCACUGCAACCUCCACCUCCCAGGUUCAAGUGACUCUCCUGCCUCA
RNAcentral lists this signal recognition particle RNA (273 nucleotides) under Pan troglodytes (chimpanzee). It matches the Rfam family "Metazoan signal recognition particle RNA". Rfam says of the family: The signal recognition particle (SRP) is a universally conserved ribonucleoprotein. It is involved in the co-translational targeting of proteins to membranes. Lineage: Eukaryota; Metazoa; Chordata; Mammalia; Primates; Hominidae. The record is from RNAcentral.